AACGAACGCUGGCGGCAGGCUUAACACAUGCAAGUCGAACGCCCCGCAAGGGGAGUGGCAGACGGGUGAGUAACACGUGGGAACGUGCCCAAAGGUACGGAACAACUCCGGGAAACUGGAGCUAAUACCGUAUGUGUCCGCAAGGAGAAAGAUUUAUCGCCUUUGGAUCGGCCCGCGUCGGAUUAGCUAGUUGGUGGGGUAAUGGCCUACCAAGGCGACGAUCCGUAGCUGGUUUGAGAGAACGACCAGCCACACUGGGACUGAGACACGGCCCAGACUCCUACGGGAGGCAGCAGUGGGGAAUCUUGGACAAUGGGCGCAAGCCUGAUCCAGCCAUGCCGCGUGGAUGAUGAAGGCCUUAGGGUUGUAAAAUCCUUUCGUCAGGGACGAUAAUGACGGUACCUGAAGAAGAAGCCCCGGCUAACUUCGUGCCAGCAGCCGCCGCGG
This 447-nucleotide ribosomal RNA is filed under the name uncultured bacterium. RNAcentral's name for it is "partial 16S ribosomal RNA". It matches the Rfam family "Bacterial small subunit ribosomal RNA", at positions 29 to 523 of the family's 1533-position model. The record is from RNAcentral.